This 243-nucleotide ribosomal RNA is filed under the name uncultured Actinomycetales bacterium. RNAcentral's name for it is "partial 16S ribosomal RNA". It matches the Rfam family "Bacterial small subunit ribosomal RNA", at positions 88 to 334 of the family's 1533-position model. The record is from RNAcentral. Lineage: Bacteria; Bacillati; Actinomycetota; Actinomycetes; Actinomycetales.
UACUCGAGUGGCGAACGGGUGAGUAACACGUGGGUGAUCUGCCCUGCACUCUGGGAUAAGCCUGGUAAACUGGGUCUAGUACCGGAUAGGACCAUGCUUUAGUGUGUGUGGUGGAAAGUUUUUUCGGUGUAGGAUGAGCCCGCGGCCUAUCAGCUUGUUGGUGGGGUAAUGGCCUACCAAGGCGGCGACGGGUAGCCGGACUGAGAGGUUGGUCGGCCACAUUGGGACUGAGAUACGGCCCAG